GUGAGGAAUUUUCCGCAAUGGGCGAAAGCCUGACGGAGCAAUGCCGCGUGAAGGAUGAAGGCCUAUGGGUUGUAAACUUCUUUUCUCAGAAAAGAAUUAUGACGGUAUCUGAGGAAUAAGCAUCGGCUAACUCUGUGCCAGCAGCCGCGGUAAGACAGAGGAUGCAAGCGUUAUCCGGAAUGAUUGGGCGUAAAGCGUCUGUAGGUUGUUUAAAAAGUAUUCUGUCAAAGAUUAGGGCUUAACCCUAGAUAGGCAGAAUAAACUUUUAAGCUAGAGUUUGGUAGAGGCAGAGGGAAUUCCCGGUGGAGUGGUGAAAUGCGUAGAUAUCGGGAGGAACACCAAAGGCGAAGGCACUCUGCUGGGCCAAUACUAACACUGAGAGACGAAAGCGAGGGGAGCAAAUGGGAUUAGAAACCCGAGUAGUCC
Molecule: ribosomal RNA, 426 nt
Filed under: uncultured bacterium
Lineage: Bacteria
Description: bacterial SSU rRNA
Rfam family: Bacterial small subunit ribosomal RNA
Source: RNAcentral